GUGGAUUAGAUACCCUGGUAGUCCACGCCCUAAACGAUGCGAACUGGAUGUUUGGUGCAAUUUGGCACGCAGUAUCGAAGCUAACGCGUUAAGUUCGCCGCCUGGGGAGUACGGUCGCAAGACUGAAACUCAAAGGAAUUGACGGGGGCCCGCACAAGCGGUGGAGUAUGUGGUUUAAUUCGAUGCAACGCGAAGAACCUUACCUGGUCUUGACAUCCACGGAACUUUCCAGAGAUGGAUUGGUGCCUUCGGGAACCGUGAGACAGGUGCUGCAUGGCCGUCGUCAACU
This 289-nucleotide ribosomal RNA is filed under the name uncultured bacterium. RNAcentral's name for it is "partial 16S ribosomal RNA". It matches the Rfam family "Bacterial small subunit ribosomal RNA", at positions 773 to 1060 of the family's 1533-position model. The record is from RNAcentral.